UUCCGGUUGAUCCCGCCGGACCUGACUGCUAUCGGAUUGAUACUAAGCCAUGUGAGUCUUUGUAGUAAUACAAGGCAUACGGCUCAGUAACACGUAGUCAACCUACCCUGUGGACGAGGAUAAUCUCGGGAAACUGAGGAUAAUACUCGAUAGAUCAUAAUGCCUGGAAUGGUUUAUGGUUGAAAUGAUUCGUCGCCAUAGGAUGGGACUGCGGCCUAUCAGCUUGUUGGUGAGGUAAUGGCCCACCAAGGCGAUUACAGGUACGGGCUCUGAGAGGAGAAGCCCGGAGAUGGGUACUGAGACAAGGACCCAGGCCCUAUGGGGCGCAGCAGGCGAGAAAACUUUGCAAUGUGCGAAAGCACGACAAGGUUAAUCCGAGUGAUUUCUGCUAAAGAAAUCUUUUGCAAGUCAUAAAACCACUAGUGAAUAAGGGGUGGGCAAGUUCUGGUGUCAGCCGCCGCGGUAAAACCAGCACCUCAAGUGGUCAGGAGGAUUAUUGGGCCUAAAGCAUCCGUAGCCGGCUCUGUAAGUUUUCGGUUAAAUCCAUGUGCUCAACGCAUGGGCUGCCGAAAAUACUGCAUAGCUAGGGAGUGGGAGAGGUAGACGGUACUCGGUAGGAAGGGGUAAAAUCCUUUGAUCUAUCGAUGACCACCUGUGGCGAAGGCGGUCUACCAGAACACGUUCGACGGUGAGGGAUGAAAGCUGGGGGAGCAAACCGGAUUAGAUACCCGGGUAGUCCCAGCUGUAAACGAUGCAGACUCGAUGAUGCAUUGGCAUAUAGCCAGUGCAGUGUCGCAGGGAAGCCGUUAAGUCUGCCGCCUGGGAAGUACGUACGCAAGUAUGAAACUUAAAGGAAUUGGCGGGGGAGCACCACAAGGGGUGAAGCCUGCGGUUCAAUUGGAGUCAACGCCGGG
Molecule: ribosomal RNA, 914 nt
Filed under: uncultured marine archaeon
Lineage: Archaea
Description: bacterial SSU rRNA
Rfam family: Archaeal small subunit ribosomal RNA
Source: RNAcentral